This is a long non-coding RNA of Culex quinquefasciatus (southern house mosquito), 883 nucleotides long. RefSeq lists it as uncharacterized. NCBI's taxonomy places the organism in Eukaryota, Metazoa, Arthropoda, Insecta, Diptera, Culicidae. The record is from RefSeq and is a predicted model, not a curated record. The transcript is spliced from 2 exons.
UUGUAUACAAGUAAUAAACCACAAGACUCUCGAAGUAACAACGCAUGAAAAUCCAGCGACCGACUACACUGCUGCGGUUGAAUAUCACGUUAAUUUCCAAUAAAAAGCACAGGACAAUGUAGUAAAAGCUGCAUGAAAGUCCCGUGAAAUCCAUCAGUGACCCAUGCAAACUUGCUUUCUAUGUGUGUGUCAGCUGGUUUUUGGUAUGCAUGAAUUUCAUGUCACAACCGCAUGGGAAUAGGUUUGGAAAAAACCACAUACCUUUUCAUGCAGCACUGUGGUGAACAGUUUUUUGAGUGUAGGAUGGUCGGGAAGCUGCAUGAAUUUCCUGUCUGAAAAUUUCGAGCUGAGCGUGCAGGUCUGGAGACGGUCAGUUUGCUGCUGAUUCCCAUCAACUUCACUUGGUUUCAGCUUUCUUUCUGUGUGUGCCGGAAAACCACAAACAUGAAAAAACAGUGACUCUGUUCGUUCUUCAAAUCUGCUUGGACUGUUUUUUCGAAGUGAAAUUUAGCCACUGCUCCUGAAUUUUCUACGCACAACCGUCAUGGCAAAGUUUGUCCUGAAGCCGUACGCGGACAAGGCCCAGCAGAAACACCCCAUCAAGGUCACCAGGGAGCCAAGGAAGCUAGAGAGAUGAAGGCGUCUGCCGCGUACGGGAGGAAGUUUGGGCUGCCCUGAUAACAGCCCCGCGAGCAGAAAGUGAUAAGCCGGAAACAUGAACGUUACGUGCGUGUGUGUUUGUGGUGGGAUGUCCGUACGAUAAAUCGGUAAAACAUAAACAUGAAAAUACGAGUGUUUUGUGAUUUAUAAUGUUGAGAUGUGAUAAGGUUGUGUUUGAGCGAAUAAGCAGAGCGAUUUUGAAAAUAAAAAGUUAAAAGAGCAA